RNAcentral lists this ribosomal RNA (497 nucleotides) under uncultured bacterium. Its description in RNAcentral is "partial 16S ribosomal RNA". It matches the Rfam family "Bacterial small subunit ribosomal RNA", at positions 30 to 523 of the family's 1533-position model. The record is from RNAcentral.
AUUGAACGCUGGCGGCAUGCCUUACACAUGCAAGUCGAACGGUAACAGGUCUUCGGAUGCUGACGAGUGGCGAACGGGUGAGUAAUACAUCGGAACGUGCCUAGUAGUGGGGGAUAACUACUCGAAAGAGUGGCUAAUACCGCAUGAGAUCUACGGAUGAAAGCAGGGGAUCGCAAGACCUUGUGCUACUAGAGCGGCCGAUGGCAGAUUAGGUAGUUGGUGGGAUAAAAGCUUAACAAGCCGACGAUCUGUAGCUGGUCUGGGAGGACGAUCAGCCACACGUGGACUGAGACACGGCCCAGACUCCUACGGGAGGCAGCAGGGGGGAAUUUUGGACAAUGGGCGAAAGCCUGAUCCAGCGAUGCCGCGUGCAGGAUGAAGGCCUUCGGGUUGUAACUGCUUUUGUACGGAACGAAAAGCCCCGGGUUAAUACCCUGGGGUCAUGACGGUACCGCAAGAAUAAGCACCGGCUAACUACGUGCCAGCCGCCGCGGUAA